CCUGUGCAUCGCUCCACCGUUCCGCUCGCUGCAAGGCGAUCGGAGAGGAAAGUCCGGGCAGCGUAGGGCAACGUGCUUCCUAACGGGAAGGGCCCAUUUGGGAACGGAUGGCCACAGAAAGUGCCGGAGAAGGGAAACCGCCGAUCGUCGGUGAAUGAAGGCCCGCCUUCGCAAGGUUGGAGGUAAGGAUGGUAAGGUGCGGUAAGAGCGCACCAGUGUCUUGGCGACAGGGCAGCUAGGUAAACCCUCAGCGCGUUGAAAGAACUAGCUAUACCGGGUGUUCCGUAUCGCCGGAACGAGGAAAAAGCCCGUCCUCCCGAUGCAUUUCGGGAUCCGGAGGGUAGGUCGAUGGAUCCCUUAUCGGUGACGACAGGGCUAGAUAGAUGGUGGAAGCUACGCCCGAAAGUAGAGAACAGAACCGGCUUACAGGUGCAGGACUU
This 440-nucleotide RNase P RNA is filed under the name Flavobacteriales bacterium. RNAcentral's name for it is "RNase P RNA component class A". It matches the Rfam family "Bacterial RNase P class A". Rfam says of the family: Ribonuclease P (RNase P) is a ubiquitous endoribonuclease, found in archaea, bacteria and eukarya as well as chloroplasts and mitochondria. Its best characterised activity is the generation of mature 5'-ends of tRNAs by cleaving the 5'-leader elements of precursor-tRNAs. The record is from RNAcentral. Lineage: Bacteria; Pseudomonadati; Bacteroidota; Flavobacteriia; Flavobacteriales.